UUGAAUGGGCGGACUCUGGCCUCGGCUAGAGUUCAGUCUACCCACCCUUGUGAAACGUAGCGUUGCUUGGCGGAUGCGCCGCGAGGUGGCCGCCAAGGGUUUCCGGUGCUCCGGCGCUGGAGACCAACCAACCAACCUGUCUAAUUGCAGCCUGAAACUAAGAAAUCUAAUGCAAAA
This 177-nucleotide unclassified non-coding RNA is filed under the name uncultured fungus. Its description in RNAcentral is "sequence contains ITS1". Lineage: Eukaryota; Fungi. The record is from RNAcentral.